UAUAAUUUUCAUUUAAGAGUACGAACAUGAAGUAUAUCUAUCUCAACUAAUUCAUUUUCUUGUUUCUCUUUUAUCUUAUCAUAUUCUACAUUUCAGAUAGGAGAUCAAAGAUGUGCUAAAUUCACACCACACUUUCCAGGGAAAAGAUGAUGCUGCAACUUAAGCUAGGGAAAAUAAUUUGCAACCUGUGAAUACUGAAAGAGUUCAAAUGUUUACUGGGCUUUUUUGUUGGGGGAAUUUGAUUCUAUACCCAAAUUGACACACCUCUUUUAGAAUAAACCCAACCAUAAGAGUGUUUUAAUAUACACCAAAAUCAAUUAAUUUUUUUUAUGCAAAAUAAAAAAACCUAUUAAAUAGAAUAAAUAAUAAAACUCAAUGUUGUUAAGAAUUACUAAAGCUGCCACUAUCAAAUUUCUCAUUCACCUAUUAAAUAUGAUUGAUAAUAAAAUCCAAAUUUGUUGCCGAUGGAAGUCGAUCAUGAAACGGCUGCCCAUAGACGUCGCCUAAAAUUACUCAACCCUUGAUUUCAGCAAUUGAAAAUUCUCCUCUGGGUUGGAGGUUACGUAAUCUCCAUAUUGAAGAGUCUAAUCUGUACAUUCAAAGCCGGUGUCAAUAUCUCUACAAGCUUGUGAUAUAAAUGGAUUGCACAAUCAGAGGUUGGUGGGUUGCCUGUGUUCGACAGCAUAUCCGAUUGGUACGGUUGAUGAGUAUUGUGGUUGCUACCUAUUCAAAAGGUGUGUGUGCUCCUGACGAAGAGGUUUUUGCUAUUGAGUAGGUAUGAUAGACUAUACAAGUUCUUGAUUGCAGGUUUUUGUUUCAUCUUCUUGUUUCUCAAUAGAUACUACAAGUUAAUUUUGAUGGCUAAAGAGUACACCCACCUGGAAUUUAGGUGCGACCUUCUCAAGUUUGGACGUGUUAUGACCGACGAGUUAAGGGCAGAUAUUACUGAAGUGAAGCUUGAUCUGAUAGAGUCCACACCGUUCAGGGAUUUGUUUAGAGCUUUUUAUGAGCGGCAAAUAAUAGACUCUGCUUGUAGGUGACAUUCCAGAACUGUUUGGUUUGAAUAUUGAAGGUCGUGAGAUCAACCUUAACCAGAAGAAGAGAAAAGGG
Rosa rugosa (rugosa rose) is the source of this 1110-nucleotide long non-coding RNA. RefSeq lists it as uncharacterized. Lineage: Eukaryota; Viridiplantae; Streptophyta; Magnoliopsida; Rosales; Rosaceae. The record is from RefSeq and is a predicted model, not a curated record. The transcript has 3 exons.